GUAAUGGGGGAUAACUAGUCGAAAGAUUAGCUAAUACCGCAUACGCCCUGAGGGGGAAAGUAGGGGAUCUUCGGACCUUACGUUAUAAGAGCGGCCGAUAUCUGAUUAGCUAGUUGGUGGGGUAAUGGCCUACCAAGGCGACGAUCAGUAGCUGGUCUGAGAGGACGACCAGCCACACUGGAACUGAGACACGGUCCAGACUCCUACGGGAGGCAGCAGUGGGGAAUUUUGGACAAUGGGCGAAAGCCUGAUCCAGCCAUUCCGCGUGAGUGAAGAAGGCCUUCGGGUUGUAAAGCUCUUUCGCAAGGGAAGAAAACUUACAUUCUAAUAAAGUGUGAGGCUGACGGUACCUUGAUAAGAAGCACCGGCUAACUACGUGCCAGCAGCCGCGGUAAUACGUAGGGUGCGAGCGUUAAUCGGAAUUACUGGGCGUAAAGCGUGCGCAGGCGGUUUUGUAAGUCAGAUGUGAAAUCCCCGAGCUCAACUUGGGAACUGCGUUUGAAACUACAAGACUAGAAUAUGUCAGAGGGGGGUAGAAUUCCACGUGUAGCAGUGAAAUGCGUAGAGAUGUGGAGGAAUACCAAUGGCGAAGGCAGCCCCCUGGGAUAAUAUUGACGCUCAUGCACGAAAGCGUGGGGAGCAAACAGGAUUAGAUACCCUGGUAGUCCACGCCCUAAACGAUGUCUACUAGUUGUUGGUGGAGUAAAAUCCAUGAGUAACGCAGCUAACGCGUGAAGUAGA
Molecule: ribosomal RNA, 741 nt
Filed under: uncultured beta proteobacterium
Lineage: Bacteria; Pseudomonadati; Pseudomonadota; Betaproteobacteria
Description: bacterial SSU rRNA
Rfam family: Bacterial small subunit ribosomal RNA
Source: RNAcentral